RNAcentral lists this antisense RNA (75 nucleotides) under Streptomyces sp. BK340. RNAcentral's name for it is "ASpks TB sRNA". It matches the Rfam family "ASpks TB sRNA". The record is from RNAcentral. Lineage: Bacteria; Bacillati; Actinomycetota; Actinomycetes; Kitasatosporales; Streptomycetaceae.
CUUCACCGAGCCCAGCCACAGCGGGUGCCCGGCGUCCCGCUCCCGGCCGUACGUCGCCAGGAGCGCCUGGGCCUC